RNAcentral lists this ribosomal RNA (406 nucleotides) under uncultured bacterium. RNAcentral's name for it is "bacterial SSU rRNA". It matches the Rfam family "Bacterial small subunit ribosomal RNA", at positions 355 to 776 of the family's 1533-position model. The record is from RNAcentral.
UGGGGAAUUUUCCGCAAUGGGCGAAAGCCUGACGGAGCAACGCCGCGUGGAUGAAGAAGUCCUUCGGGAUGUAAAGUCCUUUCAGCAGGGACGAGUCGAAGACGGUACCUGCAGAAGAAGCAUCGGCUAACUACGUGCCAGCAGCCGCGGUAAUACGUAGGAUGCAAGCGUUGUCCGGAAUUAUUGGGCGUAAAGCGUACGUAGGCGGUUUGUUAAGUCAGGGGUUAAAGACUGAGGCUCAACCUCAGGGGUGCCUUUGAUACUGGCAGGCUGGAGGACGGCAGAGGAAAGUGGAAUUCCCAGUGUAGCGGUGAAAUGCGUAGAUAUUGGGAGGAACACCAGUGGCGAAAGCGACUUUCUGGGCCGUUCCUGACGCUGAGGUACGAAAGCGUGGGGAGCAAACAGG